RNAcentral lists this ribosomal RNA (623 nucleotides) under Westiellopsis prolifica HPU NR 07. RNAcentral describes it as "bacterial SSU rRNA". It matches the Rfam family "Bacterial small subunit ribosomal RNA", at positions 124 to 772 of the family's 1533-position model. The record is from RNAcentral. Lineage: Bacteria; Bacillati; Cyanobacteriota; Cyanophyceae; Nostocales; Hapalosiphonaceae.
ACCCGGCUACUUGUGUUCGGGAAACCACUGGGAAACGGAUGGCUAAUACCGAGAGAUGCUCUGCAGGGUGAAAAGUUAACUGCCUGAGGAUGAGCUCGCGUCUGAUUAGCUAGUUGGGGGUGUAAGAGGACUACCAAGGCGACGAUCAGUACCUGGUCUGAGAGGAUGAUCACCCACACUGGAACUGAGACACGGCUCCAGACUCCUACGGGAGGCAGCAGUGGGGAAUUUUCCGCAAUGGGCGAAAGCCUGACGGAGCAAUACCGCGUGAGGGAGGAAGGCUCUUGGGUUGUAAACCUCUUUUCUCAGGAAAUAAGUACUGAAGGUACCUGAGGAAUCAGCAUCGGCUAACUCCGUGCCAGCAGCCGCGGUAAUACGGAGGAUGCAAGCGUUAUCCGGAAUGAUUGGGCGUAAAGCGUCCGUAGGUAGCAGUGUGUGUCUAUUGUUAAAGAGUUUGGCUUAACCAAAUAAAGGCGGUAGAAACUACACAGCUAGAGUGCGUUCGGGGCAGAGGGAAUUCCUGGUGUAGCGGUGAAAUGCGUAGAGAUCAGGAAGAACACCGGUGGCGAAAGCGCUCUGCUAGGCCGCAACUGACACCUGAGGACGAAAGUAGGGGCCCCUUU